UCGGGAAUUUUGGGCAAUGGGCGAAAGCCUGACCCAGCAACGCCGCGUGAAGGAUGAAGUAUUUCGGUAUGUAAACUUCGAAAGAAUAGGAAGAAUAAAUGACGGUACUAUUUAUAAGGUCCGGCUAACUACGUGCCAGCAGCCGCGGUAAUACGUAGGGACCAAGCGUUGUUCGGAUUUACUGGGCGUAAAGGGAGCGUAGGCGGAUAGUUUAGUCAGAGGUGAAAGCCCAGGGCUCAACCUUGGAAUUGCCUUUGAUACUGGCUAUCUUGAGUAUGGAAGAGGUAUGUGGAACUCCGAGUGUAGAGGUGAAAUUCGUAGAUAUUCGGAAGAACACCAGUGGCGAAGGCGACAUACUGGUCCAUUACUGACGCUGAGGCUCGAAAGCGUGGGGAGCAAACAGGAUUAGAUACCCCGGUAGUCCCUGAGCGGGCUGGCAAGGCGCAU
RNAcentral lists this ribosomal RNA (447 nucleotides) under uncultured bacterium. RNAcentral describes it as "bacterial SSU rRNA". It matches the Rfam family "Bacterial small subunit ribosomal RNA", at positions 355 to 825 of the family's 1533-position model. The record is from RNAcentral.